CCCGAAUUUAAAAGAGCUGACUAAUAAUUUAUUUUGUUGUUGAAUAAACAUUUAUAAUUAUUAGUUUGUAAUGAAACGUUAUUCGUUUUUAAAUUUAUCUGGUUUUUUAAGAAGUAAAUUUAAUUUAUUUUACCUUAAAUAUUAUAUCUAUUAUUUGGUUUGAUGUUUGGGUGAGUAAAAAUCCAAGGGGAUUAGCUUUUGGAUAUUAUUAUAAGCUUGUAUAUUUUAUAUAGUUUAUAGGAUUAGGAUUUUCCAUUAAUAAGAGGAUGUUAUAAUUAACUAUUUAAUAUUGAUUAUUUAUAUAAGUUUUAAUUUUAUUAUUAAAAUUUUAGUUUUAAUUUAUGAGGCUAAGAAAUAAUGAUUGAAUUAGUAUAUGUUAAUGUAUUUGAUUUUUUUUUAUUUAGGUUAUGUGAAGGAAUUCGGCAAAUGAUUUUUCACCUGUUUAAUAAAAACAUGGCCUUUUGUAAAUGAUUUAAGGUCUGGCCUGCCCAAUGAUUGAUUGAAUGGCCGCAGUAUUUUGACUGUGCAAAGGUAGCAUAAUCAUUAGUUUCUUAAUUAGAAGCUGGAAUGAAUGGUUUGAUGAAAAAAUAACUGUCUCCAUAUAAUUGACUUAGAAUUUUAAUUUUGAGUGAGAAAGCUCAAAUUUUUUAAGAAGACGAGAAGACCCUAUAGAGUUUUACAUUAAUUUUAAUUAAGUGAUUAUGGGUUUUAAUUUUUUUGUUUAAGGUUAGUGUUUUGUUGGGGUGAUAUUAAAAUUUAAUAAACUUUUAAUUUGUUUUUACAUUAAUUUGUGAAUAUUUGAUCCUAUUUUUUAGAUUAUAAGACUAAAUUACCUUAGGGAUAACAGCGUAAUUUUUUUGGAGAGUUCUAAUCGAUAAAAAAGUUUGCGACCUCGAUGUUGGAUUAAAGUUAAAUUUUGGUGUAGAAGCUGAAGUGUUUAGGUCUGUUCGACCUUUAAAACUUUACAUGAUCUGAGUUUAAACCGGUGUGAGCCAGGUUGGUUUCUAUCUCUUGUAUAUUAAAAUAUUUUAGUACGAAAGGACCAAAUAU
RNAcentral lists this ribosomal RNA (1050 nucleotides) under Machla setosa. RNAcentral's name for it is "16S ribosomal RNA". The stretch from base 622 to 1050 matches the Rfam family "Bacterial large subunit ribosomal RNA", at positions 2046 to 2699 of the family's 2925-position model. Lineage: Eukaryota; Metazoa; Arthropoda; Insecta; Coleoptera; Tenebrionidae. The record is from RNAcentral.